CCCAUUUCUCAGCGGCGGACGGGUGAGUAACACGUGGGCAACCUGCCCUGCAGACUGGGAUAACUCCGGGAAACCGGAGCUAAUACCGGGUAAUACAUAGCAUCGCAUGAUGCAACGUUGAAAGUUGGCUUUCGAGCUAACACUGUAGGAUGGGCCCGCGGCGCAUUAGCUAGUUGGUAAGGUAACGGCUUACCAAGGCCACGAUGCGUAGCCGACCUGAGAGGGUGAUCGGCCACACUGGGACUGAGACACGGCCCAGACUCCUACGGGAGGCAGCAGUAGGGAAUCUUCCGCAAUGGACGAAAGUCUGACGGAGCAACGCCGCGUGAGUGACGAAGGCCUUCGGGUCGUAAAGCUCUGUUGUUAGGGAAGAACAAGUACCGUUCGAAUAGGGCGGUACCUUGACGGUACCUAACCAGAAAGCCACGGCUAACUACGUGCCAGCAGCCGCGGUAAUACGUAGGUGGCAAGCGUUGUCCGGAAUUAUUGGGCGUAAAGCGCGCGCAGGCGGUCUCUUAAGUCUGAUGUGAAAGCCCACGGCUCAACCGUGGAGGGCCAUUGGAAACUGGGGGACUUGAGUGCAGAAGAGGAGAGUGGAAUUCCACGUGUAGCGGUGAAAUGCGUAGAUAUGUGGAGGAACACCAGUGGCAAAGGCGGCUCUCUGGUCUGUAACUGACGCUGAGGCGCGAAAGCGUGGGGAGCGAACAGGAUUAGAUACCCUGGUAGUCCACGCCGUAAACGAUGAGUGCUAGGUGUUGGGGGCUUCCACCCUCAGUGCUGAAGUUAACACAUUAAGCACUCCGCCUGGGGAGUACGACCGCAAGGUUGAAACUCAAAGGAAUUGACGGGGGCCCGCACAAGCAGUGGAGCAUGUGGUUUAAUUCGAAGCAACGCGAAGAA
RNAcentral lists this ribosomal RNA (900 nucleotides) under uncultured bacterium. RNAcentral describes it as "bacterial SSU rRNA". It matches the Rfam family "Bacterial small subunit ribosomal RNA", at positions 84 to 968 of the family's 1533-position model. The record is from RNAcentral.